Molecule: long non-coding RNA, 6916 nt
Organism: Gallus gallus (chicken)
Lineage: Eukaryota; Metazoa; Chordata; Aves; Galliformes; Phasianidae
Exons: 5
Source: RefSeq, a predicted model, not a curated record
GACCUUAGGUGACUCCGGCCGUGACCUUCAGGUGACCCCGGCCUGGCCGGCCUCAGCUAGAAAGGGCGGGAACGCUCAGGUGAGAAGAAAAAGCGGCGGGAAGCGAUAAAGGCGGGAAGCGACAGCGGCGUUCUGGGCUCCUAUUGGCUGGCGGGCAGCCCGGAAAUCUAUAUAAGGUGCGCGGACGAACAGGAGCUGCUGCAGAAGAAAGAAGAAGCAGCAGCGUGGGGACCUGGGCGGCAGGAGCGAGCAAGCAAGAAGAGGAAGCGGAAGCGUGCAGAUGCGGGGGGGAAGGAGAGAGGCUCCCUGGGCAAAGCACCUGUCCCGUUAGCGGGGGCACAGUCACGUUUGAGUUGAGCGCUGCCGGUGCCUCUGGCGUCCCGGCGGGCUUUGUGCUGGGCGACCUCCCUGUAAGCAGGGCUCGGGUCUUUGCUGUAGUUGGCCUUUUGCCUUGCUGCUCCUAGGGCUGCCUGGGGAGCGUGGCCCCCUGUAACGGAGGGCGAGAGUCACCUCUCCGCACCUGAGUGGGAAAUGGAGCUCGCCGGACCCCGAGGCCACCCUGUAAGCAGGGUAGUGCCGCUUCCCUGCCCCUCUUUGUCCUCCCGGCCCCUCGGCAUCGUUGCCUGGUGGUGGCCUGUCAACGCGACGGCCCCGUACUCGGGGUGCGCGCCACAGCAUUUGGCAUUUGGCCUUUGGCUUUACCCGAGAAGCCCCAUGGCACGUUGAGGUCUGUGGCCUCCGUGCAGCCUAGGGACAGGUCACAGGCUCUUGUCUGUUGCCCGUGGUUGUGGGUUAAUUCCCAGGUGUUGGCUGUGCUGCGUUGUCCUUCCCUUCUGGAAAGUCGUGCCUGUGUGUGCGUGUUCCCCUUCCUUUCCUUGUUUGUGUUUGUGGAGUGGUUGAGCGGGUGUGCUUUCCCUUUAGGCCUCCACAAAGAUGGCUGCAGCUUAGCUUUGACUUCCCAGGGGGGAAUGGAGGACUUUGGUGCAUGCCGCAAAAGGGGUGUUCCCUCUUAGUCCUGCGAGCGCAGCGAGUGUCCUGUCUUCCUACUAUUUUCCUUAGUGCAGAUCAGAGCCACACGGUAGUUCUGUGGCCAAGGCCUCCCUGUAGCCAGGGCUUGGGCCUGUCCUUGCGUGGCCGCCUGUCCUGCUGGCGGCGGUGACAGCCCCGUAGUCGGGGUGUGUGUCCCAAGCUUUGGAGCCCUCUGUCCCUGAGCAGCCCGCCCGCCCUGUAAUCAGGUGUGGGGAGGCUGCAGCGUUGCAGCCGGCUGCUUUAGCCGUCCAGCUGGUGGGAGUGACCCCUCCCUGUCCCGUCAGAGGGUGCAGGUUGAGGUGCUGUUUGUGUGUGGGGUGACCUCCCCGCUCGGUGGGUCGAGGUAGCUCCCUGGGCUUCCAAAGACGAGGCGUUGGUGAUGUUCUGCUGCUGCCGGGCGGGCCAGCCUGUAACUCAGGCGUUGGCGGGAGCCUCGUGCUCCGCGGGGCUUCUUGAAGAGGGUGAGGUGUGGGGGUACCGUCCUGUAGGCAGGGCUGUGUGUGCCCCCCGUGUGUGCUUGGUGAGCUGCGUUCUGAGAGACCCCCUGUACUCAGGUGGGAAUGUGGCCCCGGCCUUUCAGAGGCGCGGGGCCGUGAGAUGCGGGGUGGGGCUUGCACCCUCCCUGGAAUUGGGGCUGGGAUCCCGACUGCGGCCUUUGGCCGUGCCGCCCCGCUGCCUGGCUGCUGAGAGUUGCUCCUGCCGCUGGGGGGGAAACCGAGCUCUGUGGCUCCAGGGGUGUUGUCCACCCGCCUGUAAUCAGGGUCUGGGUGCGUGAGCGUUUGUGCUCUGCUGGCAGCCUGUGUGGGGUGACCGCCCCGCUAGCGGGGUGUGGGUCGAGGUGCCCCGGACUGGGAGAGAAGGAGCCUCCCUCGGCCGUAGGGAUGGGGGCCGCCCUGUAAGUCAGGGAGCAUCUGUGUCCCGGAGUCCCAGGCCCUUUUCAAUGGCGGCAGUGGCCGGGGGUCCCCUGUAAGCAGGGAAGCUGACUCUUUGGCUGCUGCUUUUUGUGUGCCCAGCCCCAUUUGCCCGGUCUGCCCGCCUCUGUGAUCCCCCGCAGCACUGGCUGGAAGUCCGCCGCGUGUCAGUGAGGAGCUGCUGCAGAAGGAAGAAGAAGAAGCGGCGUGGGGAGCUGGGAGGCAGGAGCAAGCAAGAAGAGGAAGCGGAAGCGUGCAGAUGCGGGGGGGAAGGAGAGAGGCUCCCUGGGCAAAGCACCUGUCCCGUUAGCGGGGGCACAGUCACGUUUGAGUUGAGAGCUGCCGGCGCCUUUGGUGACCAGGCUGGCGUUGUGCUGGGCGACCUCCCUGUAAGCGGGGCUCGGGUCUUUGCUGUAGUUGGCCUUUUGCCUUGCUGCUCCUUUGGCUGCCUGGGGAGCGUGGCCCCCUGUAACGGAGGGCGAGAGCCACCUCUCCGCACCUGAGUGGGAAAUGGAGCUCGCCGGACCCCGAGGCCACCCUGUAAGCAGGGUAGUGCCGUUUCCCUGCCCCUCUUCCUCCCCCGGCCCCUCGGCAUCGUUGCCUGAUGGUGGCUUGUCAACGCGACGGCCCCGUACUCGGGGUGUGCGUCACGGCAUUUGGCCGCUGGCUUUACCUGAGAAGCCCCUUGGCACGUUGAGGUCUGUGGCCUCCGUGCAGCCUAGGGACAGGUCACAGGCUCUUGUCUGUUGCCCGUGGUUGUGGGUUUAUUCCCAGGUGUUGGCUGUGCUGCGUUGUCCUUCCCUUCUGGAAAGUCGUGCCUGUGUGUGCGUGUUCCCCUUCCUUUCCUUGUUUGUGUUUGUGGAGUGGUUGAGCGGGUGUGCUUUCCCUUUAGGCCUCCACAAAGAUGGCUGCAGCUUAGCUUUGACUUCCCAGGGGGGAAUGGAGGACUUUGGUGCAUGCCGCAAAAGGGGUGUUCCCUCUUAGUCCUGCGAGCGCAGCGAGUGUCCUGUCUUCCUACUAUUUUCCUUAGUGCAGAUCAGAGCCACACGGUAGUUCUGUGGCCAAGGCCUCCCUGUAGCCAGGGCUUGGGCCUGUCCUUGCGUGGCCGCCUGUCCUGCUGGCGGCGGUGACAGCCCCGUACUCGGGGUGUGUGUCCCAAGCUUUGGAGCCCUCUGUCCCUGAGCAGCCCGCCCGCCCUGUAAUCAGGUGUGGGGAGGCUGCAGCGUUGCAGCCGGCUGCUUUAGCCGUCCAGCUGGUGGGAGUGACCCCUCCCUGUCCCGUCAGAGGGUGCAGGUUGAGGUGCUGUUUGUGUGUGGGGUGACCUCCCCGCUCGGUGGGUCGAGGUAGCUCCCUGGGCUUCCAAAGACGAGGCGUUGGUGAUGUUCUGCUGCUGCCGGGCGGGCCAGCCUGUAACUCAGGCGUUGGCGGGAGCCUCGUGCUCCGCGGGGCUUCUUGAAGAGGGUGAGGUGUGGGGGUACCGUCCUGUAGGCAGGGCUGUGUGUGCCCCCCGUGUGUGCUUGGUGAGCUGCGUUCUGAGAGACCCCCUGUACUCAGGUGGGAAUGUGGCCCCGGCCUUUCAGAGGCGCGGGGCCGUGAGAUGCGGGGUGGGGCUUGCACCCUCCCUGGAAUUGGGGCUGGGAUCCCGACUGCGGCCUUUGGCCGUGCCGCCCCGCUGCCUGGCUGCUGAGAGUUGCUCCUGCCGCUGGGGGGGAAACCGAGCUCUGUGGCUCCAGGGGUGUUGUCCACCCGCCUGUAAUCAGGGUCUGGGUGCGUGAGCGUUUGUGCUCUGCUGGCAGCCUGUGUGGGGUGACCGCCCCGCUAGCGGGGUGUGGGUCGAGGUGCCCCGGACUGGGAGAGAAGGAGCCUCCCUCGGCCGUAGGGAUGGGGGCCGCCCUGUAAGUCAGGGAGCAUCUGUGUCCCGGAGUCCCAGGCCCUUUUCAAUGGCGGCAGUGGCCGGGGGUCCCCUGUAAGCAGGGAAGCUGACUCUUUGGCUGCUGCUUUUUGUGUGCCCAGCCCCAUUUGCCCGGUCUGCCCGCCUCUGUGAUCCCCCGCAGCACUGGCUGGAAGUCCGCCGCGUGUCAGUGAGGAGCUGCUGCAGAAGGAAGAAGAAGAAGCGGCGUGGGGAGCUGGGAGGCAGGAGCAAGCAAGAAGAGGAAGCGGAAGCGUGCAGAUGCGGGGGGGAAGGAGAGAGGCUCCCUGGGCAAAGCACCUGUCCCGUUAGCGGGGGCACAGUCACGUUUGAGUUGAGAGCUGCCGGCGCCUUUGGUGACCAGGCUGGCGUUGUGCUGGGCGACCUCCCCGUAAGCGGGGCUCGGGUCUUUGCUGUAGUUGGCCUUUUGCCUUGCUGCUCCUUUGGCUGCCUGGGGAGCGUGGCCCCCUGUAACGGAGGGCGAGAGCCACCUCUCCGCACCUGAGUGGGAAAUGGAGCUCGCCGGACCCCGAGGCCACCCUGUAAGCAGGGUAGUGCCGUUUCCCUGCCCCUCUUCCUCCCUCGGCCCCUCGGCAUCGUUGCCUGAUGGUGGCUUGUCAACGCGACGGCCCCGUACUCGGGGUGUGCGUCACGGCAUUUGGCCGCUGGCUUUACCUGAGAAGCCCCUUGGCACGUUGAGGUCUGUGGCCUCCGUGCAGCCUAGGGACAGGUCACAGGCUCUUGUCUGUUGCCCGUGGUUGUGGGUUUAUUCCCAGGUGUUGGCUGUGCUGCGUUGUCCUUCCCUUCUGGAAAGUCGUGCCUGUGUGUGCGUGUUCCCCUUCCUUUCCUUGUUUGUGUUUGUGGAGUGGUUGAGCGGGUGUGCUUUCCCUUUAGGCCUCCACAAAGAUGGCUGCAGCUUAGCUUUGACUUCCCAGGGGGGAAUGGAGGACUUUGGUGCAUGCCGCAAAAGGGGUGUUCCCUCUUAGUCCUGCGAGCGCAGCGAGUGUCCUGUCUUCCUACUAUUUUCCUUAGUGCAGAUCAGAGCCACACGGUAGUUCUGUGGCCAAGGCCUCCCUGUAGCCAGGGCUUGGGCCUGUCCUUGCGUGGCCGCCUGUCCUGCUGGCGGCGGUGACAGCCCCGUAGUCGGGGUGUGUGUCCCAAGCUUUGGAGCCCUCUGUCCCUGAGCAGCCCGCCCGCCCUGUAAUCAGGUGUGGGGAGGCUGCAGCGUUGCAGCCGGCUGCUUUAGCCGUCCAGCUGGUGGGAGUGACCCCUCCCUGUCCCGUCAGAGGGUGCAGGUUGAGGUGCUGUUUGUGUGUGGGGUGACCUCCCCGCUCGGUGGGUCGAGGUAGCUCCCUGGGCUUCCAAAGACGAGGCGUUGGUGAUGUUCUGCUGCUGCCGGGCGGGCCAGCCUGUAACUCAGGCGUUGGCGGGAGCCUCGUGCUCCGCGGGGCUUCUUGAAGAGGGUGAGGUGUGGGGGUACCGUCCUGUAGGCAGGGCUGUGUGUGCCCCCCGUGUGUGCUUGGUGAGCUGCGUUCUGAGAGACCCCCUGUACUCAGGUGGGAAUGUGGCCCCGGCCUUUCAGAGGCGCGGGGCCGUGAGAUGCGGGGUGGGGCUUGCGCCCUCCCUGGAAUCGGGGCUGGGAUCCCGACUGCGGCCUUUGGCCGUGCCGCCCCGCUGCCUGGCUGCUGAGAGUUGCUCCUGCCGCUGGGGGGGAAACCGAGCUCUGUGGCUCCAGGGGUGUUGUCCACCCGCCUGUAAUCAGGGUCUGGGUGCGCGAGCGUUUGUGCUCUGCUGGCAGCCUGUGUGGGGUGACCGCCCCGCUAGCGGGGUGUGGGUCGAGGUGCCCCGGACUGGGAGAGAAGGAGCCUCCCUCGGCCGUAGGGAUGGGGGCCGCCCUGUAAGUCAGGGAGCAUCUGUGUCCCGGAGUCCCAGGCCCUUUUCAAUGGCGGCAGUGGCCGGGGUCCCCUGUAAGCAGGGAAGCUGACUCUUUGGCUGCUGCUUUUUGUGUGCCCAGCCCCAUUUGCCCGGUCUGCCCGCCUCUGUGAUCCCCCGCAGCACUGGCUGGAAGUCCGCCGCGUGUCAGUGAGGAGCUGCUGCAGAAGGAAGAAGAAGAAGCGGCGUGGGGAGCUGGGAGGCAGGAGCAAGCAAGAAGAGGAAGCGGAAGCGUGCAGAUGCGGGGGGGAAGGAGAGAGGCUCCCUGGGCAAAGCACCUGUCCCGUUAGCGGGGGCACAGUCACGUUUGAGUUGAGAGCUGCCGGCGCCUUUGGUGACCAGGCUGGCGUUGUGCUGGGCGACCUCCCCGUAAGCGGGGCUCGGGUCUUUGCUGUAGUUGGCCUUUUGCCUUGCUGCUCCUUUGGCUGCCUGGGGAGCGUGGCCCCCUGUAACGGAGGGCGAGAGCCACCUCUCCGCACCUGAGUGGGAAAUGGAGCUCGCCGGACCCCGAGGCCACCCUGUAAGCAGGGUAGUGCCGUUUCCCUGCCCCUCUUCCUCCCCCGGCCCCUCGGCAUCGUUGCCUGAUGGUGGCUUGUCAACGCGACGGCCCCGUACUCGGGGUGUGUGUCCCAAGCUUUGGAGCCCUCUGUCCCUGAGCAGCCCGCCCGCCCUGUAAUCAGGUGUGGGGAGGCUGCAGCGUUGCAGCCGGCUGCUUUAGCCGUCCAGCUGGUGGGAGUGACCCCUCCCUGUCCCGUCAGAGGGUGCAGGUUGAGGUGCUGUUUGUGUGUGGGGUGACCUCCCCGCUCGGUGGGUCGAGGUAGCUCCCUGGGCUUCCAAAGACGAGGCGUUGGUGAUGUUCUGCUGCUGCCGGGCGGGCCAGCCUGUAACUCAGGCGUUGGCGGGAGCCUCGUGCUCCGCGGGGCUUCUUGAAGAGGGUGAGGUGUGGGGGUACCGUCCUGUAGCAGGGCUGUGUGUGCCCCCCGUGUGUGCUUGGUGAGCUGCGUUCUGAGAGACCCCCUGUACUCAGGUGGGAAUGUGGCCCCGGCCUUUCAGAGGCGCGGGGCCGUGAGAUGCGGGGUGGGGCUUGCGCCCUCCCUGGAAUCGGGGCUGGGAUCCCGACUGCGGCCUUUGGCCG